RNAcentral lists this ribosomal RNA (418 nucleotides) under uncultured bacterium. RNAcentral's name for it is "bacterial SSU rRNA". It matches the Rfam family "Bacterial small subunit ribosomal RNA", at positions 358 to 773 of the family's 1533-position model. The record is from RNAcentral.
GGAAUAUUGGACAAUGGGCGCAAGCCUGAUCCAGCCAUCCCGCGUGCAGGAUGACUGCCCUAUGGGUUGUAAACUGCUUUUCUUUGGGAAGAAACCCCCGCUUUUAAUCGGGGCUGACGGUACCAGAGGAAUAAGCACCGGCUAACUCCGUGCCAGCAGCCGCGGUAAUACGGAGGGUGCAAGCGUUAUCCGGAUUCACUGGGUUUAAAGGGUGCGUAGGCGUCUCGACAAGUUUUCGGUGAAAUCCUCCGGCCUAACCGGAGAACUGCCGGGAAAACUGUCGGGAUUGAGUACGGCUGAGGUGGGCGGAAUACAGCAUGUAGCGGUGAAAUGCUUAGAUAUGCUGUAGAACACCGAUUGCGAAGGCAGCUCACUAAACCGUUACUGACGCUCAGGCACGAAAGCGUGGGUAUCGAAC